CCUACGGGAGGCAGCAGUGAGGAAUAUUGGUCAAUGGACGAGAGUCUGAACCAGCCAAGUAGCGUGAAGGAUGACUGCCCUAUGGGUUGUAAACUUCUUGUAUAUGGGAAUAAAAUGUUCCACGUGUGGGAUUUUGUAUGUACCAUAUGAAUAAGGAUCGGCUAACUCCGUGCCAGCAGCCGCGGUAAUACGGAGGAUCCGAGCGUUAUCCGGAUUUCUUGGGUUUAAAGGGAGCGUAGGUGGGUUGUUAAGUCAGUUGUGAAAGUUUGCGGCUCAACCGUAAAAUUGCAGUUGAAACUGGCAGUCUUGAGUACAGUAGAGGUGGGCGGAAUUCGUGGUGUAGCGGUGAAAUGCCUUGAUAUCACGAAGAACUCCGAUUGCGAAGGCAGCUCACUGGACUGCAACUGACACUGAGGCUCGAAAGUGUGGGUAUCAAACAGGAUUAGAUACCCCUGUAGUC
RNAcentral lists this ribosomal RNA (460 nucleotides) under uncultured bacterium. RNAcentral's name for it is "partial 16S ribosomal RNA". It matches the Rfam family "Bacterial small subunit ribosomal RNA", at positions 338 to 795 of the family's 1533-position model. The record is from RNAcentral.